GACGAACGCUGGCGGCGUGCUUAACACAUGCAAGUCGAACGGAAAGGCCCUGCUUUUGUGGGGUGCUCGAGUGGCGAACGGGUGAGUAACACGUGAGUAACCUGCCCUUGACUUUGGGAUAACUUCAGGAAACUGGGGCUAAUACCGGAUAGGAGCUCCUGCUGCGUGGUGGGGGUUGGAAAGUUUCGGCGGUUUGGGAUGGACUCGCGGCUUAUCAGCUUGUUGGUGGGGUAGUGGCUUACCAAGGCAUUGACGGGUAGCCGGCCUGAGAGGGUGGCCGGGCACAUUGGGACUGCGAUACGGCGCAGAGGCCUACGGGAGGCAGCGGUGGGGAAUAUGACACAACGGGCGGGAGCCUGAUGCGGCGACGCCGCGUGCGGGAUGACGGCCUUCGGGUUGUAAACCGCUUUCGCCUGAGACGAGGGGUGAGUGACGGUAAUGGAUGAAGAAGCACCGGCUAACUACGUG
Molecule: ribosomal RNA, 468 nt
Filed under: uncultured bacterium
Lineage: Bacteria
Description: partial 16S ribosomal RNA
Rfam family: Bacterial small subunit ribosomal RNA
Source: RNAcentral